RNAcentral lists this ribosomal RNA (497 nucleotides) under uncultured bacterium. Its description in RNAcentral is "partial 16S ribosomal RNA". It matches the Rfam family "Bacterial small subunit ribosomal RNA", at positions 28 to 507 of the family's 1533-position model. The record is from RNAcentral.
GAUGAACGCUGGCGGCGUGCCUAAUACAUGCAAGUCGAGCGAACGGACGAGAAGCUUGCUUCUCUGAUGUUAGCGGCGGACGGGUGAGUAACACGUGGAUAACCUACCUAUAAGACUGGGAUAACUUCGGGAAACCGGAGCUAAUACCGGAUAAUAUUUUGAACCGCAUGGUUCAAAAGUGAAAGACGGUCUUGCUGUCACUUAUAGAUGGAUCCGCGCUGCAUUAGCUAGUUGGUAAGGUAACGGCUUACCAAGGCAACGAUGCAUAGCCGACCUGAGAGGGUGAUCGGCCACACUGGAACUGAGACACGGUCCAGACUCCUACGGGAGGCAGCAGUAGGGAAUCUUCCGCAAUGGGCGAAAGCCUGACGGAGCAAAGCCGCGUGAGUGAUGAAGGUCUUCGGAUCGUAAAACUCUGUUAUUAGGGAAGAACAAAUGUGUAAGUAACUGUGCACAUCUUGACGGUACCUAAUCAGAAAGCCACGGCUAACUACGUG